Molecule: ribosomal RNA, 591 nt
Filed under: Pucciniastrum minimum
Lineage: Eukaryota; Fungi; Basidiomycota; Pucciniomycetes; Pucciniales; Pucciniastraceae
Description: eukaryotic LSU rRNA
Rfam family: Eukaryotic large subunit ribosomal RNA
Source: RNAcentral
CCGCUGAACUUAAGCAUAUCAAUAAGCGGAGGAAAAGAAACUAACAAGGAUUCCCCUAGUAACGGCGAGUGAAGAGGGAAAAGCCCAAAUUUGUAAUCUGGCUCUUUUUAUAAGGGUCCGAGUUGUAAUUUUGAGAACUGUUUUCUGUGCUGGACCAUGUACAAGUCUGUUGAAAAACAGCAUCAUUGAGGGUGAAAAUCCCGUACAUGAUAUGGACUACCAGGGCAAUAUGAUACAGUCUCUAAGAGUCGAGUUGUUUGGGAAUGCAGCUCAAAGUGGGUGGUAAAUUCCAUCUAAGGCUAAAUAUAGGUGAGAGACCGAUAGCAAACAAGUACCGUGAGGGAAAGAUGAAAAGAACUUUGGAAAGAGAGUUAACAGUACGUGAAAUUGCUAAAAGGGAAACAGUUAAAGUUAGACUUGUUAUUGUUGGAUCAGCUUCUUUAUUGAGGUGUACUCUGAUGAUUAACAGACCAGCAUCAAUUUUUGAGUGUUGGAUAAGGGUUUUGGGAAUGUGGCAGCUUUGGUUGUGUUAUAGACCAUUACUUUGAUACAAUGCUUAGGAUUGAGGAACGCAGUAAGCUUUGUUGCAGA